UUAGAGGAAGUAAAAGUCGUAACAAGGUUUCCGUAGGUGAACCUGCGGAAGGAUCAUUAUUGAAAUAAACUGAUGAGUUGCUGCUGGUUCUCUAGGGAGCAUGUGCACGCUUGUCAUCUUUAUAUCUCCACCUGUGCACCUUUUGUAGACCUGGAUAUCUGUCUGAAUGCUAGCCAUUCAGGAUUGAGGAUUGACUUUCAUGUCUUUUCCUUACAUUUCCAGGCCUAUGUUUCUUCAUAUACCCCAAUGUAUGUCAUAGAAUGUAAUCAAUGGCCUUUGUGCCUAUAAACCUAUACAACUUUCAGCAACGGAUCUCUUGGCUCUCGCAUCGAUGAAGAACGCAGCGAAAUGCGAUAAGUAAUGUGAAUUGCAGAAUUCAGUGAAUCAUCGAAUCUUUGAACGCACCUUGCGCUCCUUGGUAUUCCGAGGAGCAUGCCUGUUUGAGUGUCAUUAAUAUAUCAACCUCUUCAGCUUUUGCUUGUUGAGUGUUGGAUGUGGGGGUCUUUUUUUGCUGGUCUUCUCAGGUCAGCUCCCCUGAAAUGCAUUAGCGGAACAAUUUGUGGACCGUUCAUUGGUGUGAUAAUUAUCUACGCUAUUGACGUGAAGCAGUUCAGCUUCAAACAGUCCAUUGACUUGGACAAAUUUUUAUUAAUGUGACCUCAAAUCAGG
RNAcentral lists this ribosomal RNA (669 nucleotides) under Phlegmacium veneris. RNAcentral describes it as "eukaryotic LSU rRNA". The stretch from base 297 to 450 matches the Rfam family "5.8S ribosomal RNA". The record is from RNAcentral. Lineage: Eukaryota; Fungi; Basidiomycota; Agaricomycetes; Agaricales; Cortinariaceae.